UACAUAGGGGGCAAGCGUUAUCCGGAAUUACUGGGUGUAAAGGGUGCGUAGGCGGUUAGGAAAGUCAGAUGUGAAAACCCAUGGCUCAACCAUGGGAAUGCAUUUGAAACUUCUUGACUAGAGUACAGGAGAGGUAAGUGGAAUUUCUAGUGUAGCGGUAAAAUGCGUAGAUAUUAGGAGGAACACCAGUGGCGAAGGCGACUUACUGGACUGAAACUGACGCUGAGGCACGAAAGCAUGGGGAGCGAACAGG
This 253-nucleotide ribosomal RNA is filed under the name uncultured bacterium. RNAcentral's name for it is "partial 16S ribosomal RNA". It matches the Rfam family "Bacterial small subunit ribosomal RNA", at positions 524 to 776 of the family's 1533-position model. The record is from RNAcentral.